GGUGCGUAUUUCCAAAGUCAUAAGGGGGUCCGGCAAGGCGAUCCCCAUUCUCCUUUCCUUUUUAACCUGGCUAUAGAGACACUCUCGAAAAUGGUUCUUAAUGCACAAGAAGAGAAAAUGCAGACGGGCUUAUCACCUGACUUGAUUGAGGGGGGUGUGGCUAUCCUGCAAUAUGCAGAUGACACUGUAAUAUGUUUUGAACAUGAUAAGGAAGCGGCUGUGAAUCUGAAGCUUCUAUUGUACCUGUUUGAACUUAUGUCAGGACUGAAGAUCAAUUUUAUGAAAAGUGAAAUCCUCUGUGUCGGUGGAGAUGAUAGUACCCUUUCCUUUUAUGGUAGUAUUGGACAUUUUUCAAUGAAAUACUUGGGAGUCCCAGUCAGUUUCUCUUCUUUGCGUAGCAUAGACUGGGAUUUUAUGGAUGAGAGGUUCCUUAAAUGCUGUGAAUCCUGGAUUGGUAAUGCAGCAUCUUCGGGUGGGAGGCUCAUCCUUCUCAAUUCCUCAUUAACUAGCAUUGUCUUUUACUACAUGUCUAUGUUCCUUCUUCCUAAAGGGGUGAUUGAGAAACUGGAUAAACACCGUAAGCGGUUCUUUUGGCAAGAACAUGAGGGGCGUAAACGAUACCAUCUAGUGAGAUGGAAUAGAAUUUGUAGAUCCAAAGAGAAAGGGGGACUGGGAGUCAAGGAUCUUCAUAAACAGAAUUUAAGCCUCCUCACCAAGUGGUGGUGGAAGCUGGAAACUAAACAAGGGCUAUGGCAGGAUGUGAUCCGGGCCAAGUACUUUAAGCAAGACACGGUGACCUCUGUCAAAACUAAAUUCAAUGACUCGCCAAUCUGGAAAGCAAUCACGAAAACUAAAGAUUACUACCUGGCUGGCAGAAAAGUGAAUUUACAAUCUGGAGAUCUUGCUAGACUGUGGGUUGAUCCAGUUGGCAAUGAACCUCCCCUCCAGUUGCAGUUUCCUAUGAUUUAUGAUAUUUGCAAUGAUCACGAUAUCACGGUUGCUAAGUUCAGGGAAGGGGUGGAGGAAAAAAACUUUUUUAGAAGGCAACUCCACCCUCCCAUGCUUGAGCAAUGGAAUAAUAUCAAAUCUAUAGUGGGGACUUGGCCGAUGACUGGCGAAGCCGACUAAGUGGUCUGGACCUUGGGGAAGAAAAGUAGGUUUACUACGAAAUCUGUUUAUGAAUAUUUGGAAAGAAAUGUGGCGGGGGCAAACUACAAGUGGAUAUGGAAAGCAAAAAUUCCCCUUAAAAUUCAAAUUUUCCUUUGGCAACUGUUUCAGGACGCUAUCCUAACUAGAGAUGUGAUGAGUAGACGAAAGUGGCUGGGAAAUCCUACCUGCUCCUUCUGUGCGGAGAGAGAAACAUCCUAGCAUCUCUUCUUCACUUGCCCUGUGGCCAGAGUCCUCUGGAGGACUGUAGGCUGUGUACUGGGCACGGAUCUGUGUCCAAGUAACAUUUGGCAGUACUAUUCAUGGGCUUACAUGUUUUUACCUGAUGGGGAGAAAUUUUAUACCUUUGUUCUAGCAGGUUUAUGUUGGGCGAUGUGGAUUAAUCGUAACAGUGUUACCUUUGAGUCUAAACAGAUGAGGUCGCCUUUUGAUGUGGUUUACUCUGCAUGUGGUUUUCUUACCUACUGGGAAGGUUUGAUGACAGGAGAUGAUCGAGAGAUGAUGGAGCGCGGAGCCAAGAUGCUGAGGACCAAUGCAUCGAACAUGAUGCGGAUCUGUGCAGCGCCGAGGGGAACCUCAAACUGA
RNAcentral lists this ribosomal RNA (1752 nucleotides) under Triticum aestivum (bread wheat). RNAcentral describes it as "partial small subunit ribosomal RNA". The record is from RNAcentral. Lineage: Eukaryota; Viridiplantae; Streptophyta; Magnoliopsida; Poales; Poaceae.